UGAUAAUGGCAAACUUAUUCGAAAGAUAAAGACGCAAAGCCACGGGCCUAAAUACGCAAUGUACAGGGCAGCCGGGUUACCAA
RNAcentral lists this non-coding RNA (83 nucleotides) under uncultured Planococcus sp. RNAcentral's name for it is "Cyclic di-GMP-I riboswitch". It matches the Rfam family "c-di-GMP-I riboswitch aptamer". Rfam says of the family: GEMM was predicted in a large-scale screen for bacterial structured RNA regulatory elements. Lineage: Bacteria; Bacillati; Bacillota; Bacilli; Caryophanales; Caryophanaceae. The record is from RNAcentral.